This 292-nucleotide ribosomal RNA is filed under the name uncultured bacterium. RNAcentral's name for it is "partial 16S ribosomal RNA". RNAcentral also lists the same sequence under 1 other name. The record is from RNAcentral.
GGACUACUGGGGUAUCUAAUCCUGUUUGCUCCCCACGCUUUCGCGCCUCAGCGUCAGUUGCGGGCCAGUGAGCCGCCUUCGCCACUGGUGUUCUUCCCAAUAUCUACGAAUUUCACCUCUACACUGGGAAUUCCACUCACCUCUCCCGCACUCCAGCCCCGCAGUCUCAAGCGCAAUUCCUGGGUUAAGCCCAGGGCUUUCACGCCCAACUUGCAAGGCAGCCUACGCGCCCUUUACGCCCAGUAAUUCCGAACAACGCUUGCCCCCUCCGUAUUACCGCGGCUGCUGGCAC